RNAcentral lists this ribosomal RNA (254 nucleotides) under uncultured bacterium. Its description in RNAcentral is "partial 16S ribosomal RNA". It matches the Rfam family "Bacterial small subunit ribosomal RNA", at positions 524 to 776 of the family's 1533-position model. The record is from RNAcentral.
UACGUAGGGGGGCAAGCGUUGUCCGGAAUCAUUGGGCGUAAAGAGCGCGUAGGCGGCCCUGUAAGUCCGCUGUGAAAGUCAAGGGCUCAACCCUUGGAUGCCGGUGGAUACUGCAGGGCUAGAGUCCGGAAGAGGCGAGUGGAAUUCCUGGUGUAGCGGUGAAAUGCGCAGAUAUCAGGAGGAACACCGAUGGCGAAGGCAGCUCGCUGGGACGGUACUGACGCUGAGGAGCGAAAGUGUGGGGAGCGAACAGG